RNAcentral lists this ribosomal RNA (1351 nucleotides) under uncultured bacterium. Its description in RNAcentral is "partial 16S ribosomal RNA". It matches the Rfam family "Bacterial small subunit ribosomal RNA", at positions 1 to 1360 of the family's 1533-position model. The record is from RNAcentral.
UUAGAGUUUGAUUCUGGCUCAGGACGAACGCUGGCGGCGUGCCUAACACAUGCAAGUCGAGCGAGAAAGUUUCCUUCGGGAGAUGAGUACAGCGGCGGACGGGUGAGUAACACGUAUGCAACCUGCCUUCAACAAGGGGAUAACUCGUUGAAAGACGGACUAAUACCCUAUAACACAGGGCUCCCGCAUGGGAAUAUUUGUUAAAGAUUUAUCGGUUGAAGAUGGGCAUGCGUUCCAUUAGUUAGUUGGGGGGGUAACGGCCCACCAAGGCAACGAUGGAUAGGGGAACUGAGAGGUUUAUCCCCCACACUGGUACUGAGACACGGACCAGACUCCUACGGGAGGCAGCAGUGAGGAAUAUUGGUCAAUGGACGCAAGUCUGAACCAGCCACGUCGCGUGAAGGAAGACGGCCCUACGGGUUGUAAACUUCUUUUGUAAGGGAAUAAAGUGAGUCACGUGUGGCUUUUUGCAUGUACCUUACGAAUAAGGAUCGGCUAACUCCGUGCCAGCAGCCGCGGUAAUACGGAGGAUCCUAGUGUUAUCCGGAUUUAUUGGGUUUAAAGGGAGCGUAGGCGGGAGGUCAAGUCAGCUGUGAAAUGUAUCUGCUUAACGGGUACACUGCAGUUGAAACUGGUUUUCUUGAGUGCGUAAGAGGCAGGCGGAAUUCGUUGUGUAGCGGUGAAAUGCUUAGAUAUGACGAGGAACUCCUAUUGCGAAGGCAGCUUGCUGGGUCGUUACUGACGCUGAUGCUCGAAGGUGCGGGGAUCAAACAGGAUUAGAUACCCUGGUAGUCCGCACAGUAAACUAUGGAUACUCUCUGCCGGCGAUACAUUGUCGGUGGCCAAGCGAAAGCGUUAAGUAUCCCACCUGGGGAGUACGUUCGCAAGAAUGAAACUCAAAGGAAUUGACGGGGGCCCGCACAAGCAGUGGAGUAUGUGGUUUAAUUUGAAGCAACGCGAAAAACCUUACCAAGACUUGACAUCGCAUGAUCGCCAUAGAAAUAUGGUUUCUCUUCUGAGCAUGCAGACAGAUGGUGCAUGGUUGUCGUCAGCUCGUGUCGUGAGAUGCUGGGUUAAGUCCCGCAACGAGCGCAACCCUUAUUGUUAGUUGCUACCAUUUAGUUGAGCACUCUAGCGAGACUGCCCGGGUUAACCGGGAGGAAGGUGGGGAGGACGUCAAAUCAUCAUGCCCCCUAUGUCUAGGGCUACACACGUGCUACAAUGGCUGGUACAGAGAGAUGCGAAACCGCGAGGUGGAGCCAAACUUCAAAACCAGUCUCAGUUCGGAUUGUAGGCUGAAACUCGCCUACAUGAAGCUGGAGUUGCUAGUAAUCGCGAAUCAGCAUGUCGC